RNAcentral lists this ribosomal RNA (460 nucleotides) under uncultured bacterium. Its description in RNAcentral is "partial 16S ribosomal RNA". It matches the Rfam family "Bacterial small subunit ribosomal RNA", at positions 338 to 795 of the family's 1533-position model. The record is from RNAcentral.
CCUACGGGUGACAGCAGUGAGGAAUAUUGGUCAAUGGACGAGAGUCUGAACCAGCCAAGUAGCGUGAAGGAUGACUGCCCUAUGGGUUGUAAACUUCUUUUAUAAAGGAAUAAAGUGAGGCACGUGUGCCUUUUUGUAUGUACUUUAUGAAUAAGGAUCGGCUAACUCCGUGCCAGCAGCCGCGGUAAUACGUAGGAUCCGUGCGUUAUCCGGAUUUAUUGGGUUUAAAGGGAGCGUAGGUGGGUUGUUAAGUCAGUUGUGAAAGUUUGCGGCUAAACCGUCAAAUAGCAAUUGAUACUGGCAGUCUUGAGUACAGUUGAGGUAGGCGGAAUUCGUGGUGUAGCGGUGAAAUGCUUAGAUAUCACGAAGAACUCCGAUUGCGAAGGCAGCUUACUAAGCUGCCACUGACAUUGAUGCUCGAAAGUGUGGGUAUCAAACAGGAUUAGAUACCCUAGUAGUC